This 253-nucleotide ribosomal RNA is filed under the name uncultured bacterium. RNAcentral's name for it is "partial 16S ribosomal RNA". It matches the Rfam family "Bacterial small subunit ribosomal RNA", at positions 524 to 776 of the family's 1533-position model. The record is from RNAcentral.
UACGUAGGGUGCAAGCGUUGUCCGGAUUUAUUGGGCGUAAAGAGCUCGUAGGCGGUCUGUCGCGUCGGAUGUGAAAACCCAGGGCUCAACCCUGGGCCUGCAUUCGAUACGGGCAGACUAGAGUACGGCAGGGGAGACUGGAAUUCCUGGUGUAGCGGUGAAAUGCGCAGAUAUCAGGAGGAACACCGGUGGCGAAGGCGGAUCUCUGGGCCGAUACUGACGCUGAGGAGCGAAAGCGUGGGGAGCGAACAGG